This 919-nucleotide ribosomal RNA is filed under the name Escherichia coli. Its description in RNAcentral is "partial 23S ribosomal RNA". It matches the Rfam family "Bacterial large subunit ribosomal RNA", at positions 231 to 1191 of the family's 2925-position model. Lineage: Bacteria; Pseudomonadati; Pseudomonadota; Gammaproteobacteria; Enterobacterales; Enterobacteriaceae. The record is from RNAcentral.
GAGAUUCCCCCAGUAGCGGCGAGCGAACGGGGAGGAGCCCAGAGCCUGAAUCAGUGUGUGUGUUAGUGGAAGCGUCUGGAAAGGCGCGCGAUACAGGGUGACAGCCCCGUACACAAAAAUGCACAUAUUGUGAGCUCGAUGAGUAGGGCGGGACACGUGGUAUCCUGUCUGAAUAUGGGGGGACCAUCCUCCAAGGCUAAAUACUCCUGACUGACCGAUAGUGAACCAGUACCGUGAGGGAAAGGCGAAAAGAACCCCGGCGAGGGGAGUGAAAAAGAACCUGAAACCGUGUACGUACAAGCAGUGGGAGCCUCUUAAUGGGGUGACUGCGUACCUUUUGUAUAAUGGGUCAGCGACUUAUAUUCUGUAGCAAGGUUAACCGAAUAGGGGAGCCGAAGGGAAACCGAGUCUUAACUGGGCGUUAAGUUGCAGGGUAUAGACCCGAAACCCGGUGAUCUAGCCAUGGGCAGGUUGAAGGUUGGGUAACACUAACUGGAGGACCGAACCGACUAAUGUUGAAAAAUUAGCGGAUGACUUGUGGCUGGGGGUGAAAGGCCAAUCAAACCGGGAGAUAGCUGGUUCUCCCCGAAAGCUAUUUAGGUAGCGCCUCGUGAAUUCAUCUCCGGGGGUAGAGCACUGUUUCGGCAAGGGGGUCAUCCCGACUUACCAACCCGAUGCAAACUGCGAAUACCGGAGAAUGUUAUCACGGGAGACACACGGCGGGUGCUAACGUCCGUCGUGAAGAGGGAAACAACCCAGACCGCCAGCUAAGGUCCCAAAGUCAUGGUUAAGUGGGAAACGAUGUGGGAAGGCCCAGACAGCCAGGAUGUUGGCUUAGAAGCAGCCAUCAUUUAAAGAAAGCGUAAUAGCUCACUGGUCGAGUCGGCCUGCGCGGAAGAUGUAACGGGGCUAAACCAUG